Small nucleolar RNA from Hevea brasiliensis (rubber tree), 91 nucleotides. RefSeq annotates it as small nucleolar RNA snR60/Z15/Z230/Z193/J17. Lineage: Eukaryota; Viridiplantae; Streptophyta; Magnoliopsida; Malpighiales; Euphorbiaceae. The record is from RefSeq and is a predicted model, not a curated record. The transcript has a single exon.
AUGGGUCACAUGAUGAUCGUAAGCAUAGUUCAACUGAUAAUCUCUGUGAUUAUGAAAACAUUUUGUCUUUCGCUCCUAUCUGAUGGCCCAU